RNAcentral lists this ribosomal RNA (253 nucleotides) under uncultured bacterium. RNAcentral describes it as "partial 16S ribosomal RNA". It matches the Rfam family "Bacterial small subunit ribosomal RNA", at positions 524 to 776 of the family's 1533-position model. The record is from RNAcentral.
UACGAAGGGGGCUAGCGUUGCUCGGAAUCACUGGGCGUAAAGCGCACGUAGGCGGACUCUUAAGUCGGUGGUGAAAUCCUGGAGCUCAACUCCAGAACUGCCUUCGAUACUGAGAGUCUCGAGUCCGGGAGAGGUGAGUGGAACUGCGAGUGUAGAGGUGAAAUUCGUAGAUAUUCGCAAGAACACCAGUGGCGAAGGCGGCCAACUGGUCCGGAACUGACGCUGAGGUGCGAAAGCGUGGGGAGCAAACAGG